CCAAAAAAGUUGAUGCUGUUCAUCUGGACGUCACGGGAGAAACAUUUCAUCACUCAUCUAAAUGACGUCUUCAGCCUCAGCUGACUGCAGGUUUCCCCAACGUUGAAACAGGACAUCUGCAUAAUGACUGAUGCUAACACCACCGACUAACAACGGGCCGCGAGCACUCAUUACGUCACCAGGUCGGCUGGUUGGGCAGCGCUCCCAGGAGAGGGGAGCUCAUCAAACACUAUAAAAUGGCGGAAGAGGUGAGCUCAUCAAAAUCUAAAAUGGCGGAAGAGGUGAGCUCAUCAAAAACUAAAAUGGCGGAAGAGGUGAGCUCAUCAAAAACUAUAAAAUGGCGGAAGAUGAAACCGACAGCUGUUUUGAUGCCCCGCCCACACACCUUACAGCUCACGCUUUGGAGCCAGUGAGAAGGAGAGAGAGUGACCACAGGAAACAGCUGAGAGGAUCAACAGGUGGAGCGAGCAGGUGAGGAGAGGGCGAGCGACACCACCUGACGCGUGCGUGAACGCUGCAGGGAGACGGCGAGUGAGUCGAGCUGCUGUCAGGAAGCUGCUGUGGAUCCAGCAGGUGCUGACGGUCUGAUUCUGAACGUCACAAAGUCGUCUCUAACCAGUCGUCUGCUUUUCUUUCUGAAGUCUGAAGGUUAGAAAACGAGCAGCUGCCACCACCGUGACUCAGAGGUUAACUACACCGACUAAACCUGACAAAGAUCAUUUACUGAUCAACAGUUAGCCUCCAGUUUGUUUCUGCUCUUAUUGUAGCUGCAGAACAAAGAUGAUGCUGGACUCAGUUAUUGAUGAAA
This is a long non-coding RNA of Oreochromis niloticus (Nile tilapia), 808 nucleotides long. RefSeq lists it as uncharacterized. The transcript is spliced from 2 exons. The record is from RefSeq and is a predicted model, not a curated record. Lineage: Eukaryota; Metazoa; Chordata; Actinopteri; Cichliformes; Cichlidae.